This 370-nucleotide ribosomal RNA is filed under the name uncultured organism. Its description in RNAcentral is "bacterial SSU rRNA". It matches the Rfam family "Bacterial small subunit ribosomal RNA", at positions 526 to 896 of the family's 1533-position model. The record is from RNAcentral.
CGAAGGGGGCUAGCGUUGCUCGGAAUCACUGGGCGUAAAGGGUGCGUAGGCGGGUCUUUAAGUCAGAGGUGAAAUCCAGGAGCUCAACUCCAGAACUGCCUUUGAUACUGAAGAUCUUGAGUUCGGGAGAGGUGAGUGGAACUGCGAGUGUAGAGGUGAAAUUCGUAGAUAUUCGCAAGAACACCAGUGGCGAAGGCGGCUCACUGGCCCGAUACUGACGCUGAGGCACGAAAGCGUGGGGAGCAAACGGGAUUAGAUACCCUGGUAGUCCACGCCGUAAACGAUGAAUGCCAGCCGUUAGUGGGUUUACUCACUAGUGGCGCAGCUAACGCUUUAAGCAUUCCGCCUGGGGAGUACGGUCGCAAGAUUA